This is a non-coding RNA of Hortaea werneckii EXF-2000, 120 nucleotides long. Lineage: Eukaryota; Fungi; Ascomycota; Dothideomycetes; Mycosphaerellales; Teratosphaeriaceae. The record is from Rfam.
ACGAACGACCAGAGGUUCCAGAGAACAGAGGAUCCCGUCCGCUCUCCUGUACUUAAGCUGGAAACCGGUGGAUUAGUAUUAACGUCGGUGACGAGUUGAGAAUCCCCACUGUUGUUCGUU